CCUACGGUGGCUGCAGUGGGGAAUAUUGGACAAUGGGCGAAAGCCUGAUCCAGCCAUGCCGCGUGUGUGAAGAAGGCCUUCGGGUUGUAAAGCACUUUCAGUGGGGAAGAAAGCCUUGGGGCUAAUACCCUCGAGGAAGGACAUCACCCACAGAAGAAGCACCGGCUAACUCCGUGCCAGCAGCCGCGGUAAUACGGAGGGUGCGAGCGUUAAUCGGAAUUACUGGGCGUAAAGCGCGCGUAGGCGGUCUGAUAAGCCGGUUGUGAAAGCCCCGGGCUCAACCUGGGAACGGCAUCCGGAACUGUCAGGCUAGAGUGCAGGAGAGGAAGGUAGAAUUCCCGGUGUAGCGGUGAAAUGCGUAGAGAUCGGGAGGAAUACCAGUGGCGAAGGCGGCCUUCUGGAUUGACACUGACGCUGAGGUGCGAAAGCGUGGGUAGCAAACAGGAUUAGAUACCCUGGUAGUC
Molecule: ribosomal RNA, 464 nt
Filed under: Vreelandella stevensii
Lineage: Bacteria; Pseudomonadati; Pseudomonadota; Gammaproteobacteria; Oceanospirillales; Halomonadaceae
Description: partial 16S ribosomal RNA
Rfam family: Bacterial small subunit ribosomal RNA
Source: RNAcentral